UGUCAUGCAGAUGAGGAAAACUUGAGGCCACAAGGGGAAGUAGACCUGAGACUCACUAUUCUAGUGCUCUAUAUUUUGAUGUCUUUUCCUUCACAGUGCCUUUCACCUUUCCUUUCCCUGCUUAACCCCCAAUUCCUACAUUUGUCUAACACCAGGCACACCACAAUUCAUUCAUUUUGCUUUAUGAUGUCAGGCUUCCCUCCUAGUAAGCUAGGUAUUUCUGAAACAUGAUUACUGACUGAGAUUGGCCAUGCCUGGCCCUGUUAGCCUUUAUACCACAUAUGCUCCACAGUCCCAGACUGGGCUUCCAAGAGGGUAAUCUGAUUUGGGAAUUCUCUGCCCGAGCAUAUCUCAACAUGUUUCACUUUUAUUCCAGUUCUGGUGAAAAUGUGAUCCCAGCAUCUAUCAUCUAGAGUACCUCCUGAGUGGAAAAGGGAUUAAGCUUUGAACUAAUUGGUGAUGUGUAUAGCUAAACAGAUGACCAGCCCUGGAGCAGAGAAGCCACUUUCCCCAGCAUGUUGGCAGAGAUCUGAAAAAACAGAGCAAAAGGAAUGGAAUCUCUCAUGCAAUCAUUUUCCUGCCUUGGGCUUAUAUUGGAGCAACCUCCUUUUACAAGCUUCAAUGACUUUGGUUCACUGGGUCUUGGUUUUGAGGAAAUGAUGGCUGGAAUGAAUAUGGGGAAGUAUGGAAAGACAUAUAAUCUGAUGCAAAGUGAAAUAAACUGAACCAGAAAAAGUCUAUACGCA
RNAcentral lists this long non-coding RNA (746 nucleotides) under Monodelphis domestica (gray short-tailed opossum). RNAcentral's name for it is "lncRNA (ENSMODG00000031522.2)". The record is from RNAcentral. Lineage: Eukaryota; Metazoa; Chordata; Mammalia; Didelphimorphia; Didelphidae.